CAGCGCCGGUAAUACGUAGGGUGCAAGCGUUAAUCGGAAUUACUGGGCGUAAAGCGUGCGCAGGCGGUUAUAUAAGACAGAUGUGAAAUCCCCGGGCUCAACCUGGGAACUGCAUUUGUGACUGUAUAGCUAGAGUACGGCAGAGGGGGAUGGAAUUCCGCGUGUAUCAGUGAAAUGCGUAGAUAUGCGGAGGAACACCGAUGGCGAAGGCAAUCCCCUGGGCCUGUACUGACGCUCAUGCACGAAAGCGUGGGGAGCAAACAGGAUUAGAUACCCGUGUAGUCCCUGUCUCUUAUACACA
RNAcentral lists this ribosomal RNA (301 nucleotides) under uncultured bacterium. RNAcentral's name for it is "partial 16S ribosomal RNA". It matches the Rfam family "Bacterial small subunit ribosomal RNA", at positions 512 to 810 of the family's 1533-position model. The record is from RNAcentral.